GACGAACGCUGGCGGCGUGCCCAAUACAUGCAAGUCGAACGGAGGUCGCCACGCGGAUCUCUUCGGAGAGAAGCGUGGCCAUACCUCAGUGGCGAACGGGUGAGUAACACGUGGGUAACCUGCCUGUAAGUCGGGGAUAACUGCGGGAAACCGCAGCUAAUACCGGAUAAGUCGGGAGGUUCGCAUGAACCUUUCGGUAAAGGAGCUACGGUUCCGCUUACAGAUGGGCCCGCGGCGCAUUAGCUAGUUGGUGGGGUAACGGCCUACCAAGGCGACGAUGCGUAGCCGACCUGAGAGGGUGACCGGCCACACUGGGACUGAGACACGGCCCAG
RNAcentral lists this ribosomal RNA (333 nucleotides) under uncultured bacterium. RNAcentral describes it as "bacterial SSU rRNA". It matches the Rfam family "Bacterial small subunit ribosomal RNA", at positions 28 to 334 of the family's 1533-position model. The record is from RNAcentral.